AGGGAUGCGGUCAGGGAGGGGACACUGGUGGGAGCCCUAAGGUCCCAUUAGUGCUUUGUUUUUAAAAGCCAGGUGGUGGGUAGACAGAUAUCUGCUGUGUUACUCUUCUUUAAACAAUGCUUAUAUUUUAUACAUUCUUCUGUAAGUGUAUUUUACAUAUUUAAAAAUAUUUUUAAAGGACAGCAAAAGAUAAAAAAUAGGAAAAGUCCCCCUGCCCAAACCCCUGAAAAAAAUGGGACAAUAUGCUCAAAUGUGCAUCAUGUUGUACAAUUAUUCAUGAAGCAAUAAAGCUGGGGGUGUGUUUAUUCUCAGCCAAAUCACUGUUUCAUCCAGAGGGUCCUGUGUACCAUCACACUCUCAGCAGAAUCUCUACAGGCCCGUGCAGCUGUCCUCACGUCCUCAUCACGGCAGCGCCCCCUAGGAUCCAGCAAAUUUUCCUUUGAAGUUUCAAUACAAUUUCCUAGGUCCUUGAAGAGUUGCAGCAAGUCCCACCAUCUGCCUGAGUCUGUUUUCAUUUCCACAAUGGAGGUGGUGACACUCAGCACGCGGAGCUGUGAUGAGGAUUUAAUGGGGAAUCCGGAGCAUUUAUAGAAGUCCCAGGAGGCCAAGAUUCUACACAGGUAGGAAGGACCUAAGCCAGAGGGGUGUGGGUGGCCAGAAGAGAGAGCCUACCUUAGUAGGGCUGGGUGGGCUAAGGUCUGGGCUGAAUCUCAAGGCCCUGGAGCUUAGAACAGCGUCUGCAACUCCCUGGCUGUGGAAGUUCAGGCAAGGACUGCGUCCUCUCUGAGUGUCAGUUUCCCCAUCUAUAAAUGGAAGCUGCGACACUGGAAAACACUGUGGGGAGGAUGGUUCCUGAGGCAGUCUCUCUCCACACAUCACUGGAAUGCCAGCCCCCAGGGAGAAGCAUCUUUGUCCAUUGUGUUCACUUCUGCAUCCCCAGUGCCCAGAACAGUGCUUGCAUGUAGCAGAUGCUCAAUAAAUGUUCAUUGAAUGAAUCAGCAGCAACCAAUUCGCCCACCUCACAUCCUAAGUCUGCCGGGGACCUAGGCCCACCUCUCCAGGGAAACUGUCUGCAGAUUGGGACCACACCUCAGGUCACAAGCAUUUCCUGAACACCUACUAUAUGCACGGCUCUAUGCAGCCCAGGGUAGACCCUGCUCCAUCGCCCGACAGGCAGAGCCAAGGAGGCAGGUGACAGACACAGUGAUGUGGGAAGAAGGACAGAGAGCAGGGCGGCCAGCAGGGCCUUGCCUGGGUGGGAGCAGGCUGUUCCCAGGCUGGAGCUCAGGCUGAUGGGAGCCCCAGCUUGCCUGUUCCUGGGAGGGUGGGGCUGCCUGUUCCUCUUUCUUUCUUUGAAAACAAAAAUUGUUUUCCCUUAAAUUUAUAACUAUUAAAAGUUUGGAAAAUGCACAAUCAUCAAAAGAAUGUAAAAUAAAGGUUACCUGCCAUCGUGGCACACCAUACAGCGUUAACUCCUAUUGACAUUUCAGUGUUUCCCUCUAGUUUUUUUUUCUGAGGUGGCCUUGCUCUCAGAGGUGGCUUUCUCUCCCCCUGGGAAGGGAUAUAGCUGCUCUGUGGGAGAUGUGGGGGCACCAGGCUCUCUCCGUGGGCUGUUUAUCACUUCUGACUUUGAGGUCCUUUCUCCAUCCCUCCUGGAUCCAGCACCUCUUCCCGAGACACAGGGGUGCGAAAUGCUGGGGAAAGCAUGUCAGCAGGCCUCACCUCCUGCCCCUGCUUUCCCCAUGGAGGUGGAGUGGGACAGAGCUCAGGCUUGAGGAGGGAGCACUGGAGGCCAAGCCACAGGUGCUG
Molecule: long non-coding RNA, 1809 nt
Organism: Piliocolobus tephrosceles (Ugandan red Colobus)
Lineage: Eukaryota; Metazoa; Chordata; Mammalia; Primates; Cercopithecidae
Exons: 3
Source: RefSeq, a predicted model, not a curated record